RNAcentral lists this unclassified non-coding RNA (217 nucleotides) under Hevea brasiliensis (rubber tree). Lineage: Eukaryota; Viridiplantae; Streptophyta; Magnoliopsida; Malpighiales; Euphorbiaceae. The record is from RNAcentral.
GCUGUUAUUUCAUUGUUGCAACCAGCUCCAGAGACCUACGAUCUCUUCGAUGACAUAAUACUUCUCUCAGAUGGGCAUAUUGCAUAUCAAGGUCCACGCGAACAUGCUUUGGAGUUCUUCGAUUCAAUGGGUUUCAAAUGCCCCGAGAGGAAAGGCAUUGCAGAUUUCUUACAAGAAGUGACAUCAAGAAAAGAUCAGCAGCAAUACUGGGUGCGGC